GUCUUUGACCAUCUCUUGGCACUCUGUUCCACCCUAUCUUUUUUCAUACUUUUCCCUCAUUUUACAGGUCUUUUCUUAGUUUUUUUGGUACUUUGGUCUUUUCCACACUUUUGUCUCACUUUUGUGAGACAAGUGAGGUCGGCCUCACUUUCUAGACAUCUGACCACGUCCCCUCUGAUGUAUCUGAUGGCCAGCUGUUCUCUUUCUCCAUCCACAGCCGACAGCCUCCUGCUUUCCUCCACUCCUGCCUCAUCUUGCUUCUCCUCUUGCUGCAGAAGAGGCUCUCAACAGGAGUCCACCAACUGCUGCUGCUGAUUGAACUUCAUAAUUAGAAAGAUUAUACUUUUGGCAUCUUGACUUGGGGUAAAGUAUUCACUAAGGAGGACAUGCAUUGCCGGAGCAUCUUAUUCCUCUGUCAGAGUUUACUUUAUCACCUUGAAUGCCUUGAAAGGGGGGCUCAAUAAGAACAAAACCUUCCCACAGCAACUCUUCUGUCUCGGUAUGACAGCCCUUGUCGCCAGAGGAAGAGGCUGAGAGCCAGUGAUCAAAUCUGAACUCAGCGUGGGGUCCACAGAGGUUGCUCCGAUGCUCAUUCAGUUGACUCUUACUGUCCCCUCUGGUCCAGACCUCAUCACAACCAUCAUUGCUUUUGACUUUCAGAGGUCUGUGAGGGACCUUCAUCAUCUUUAAUUUCUAUACAGCUGAGGACACAGAGGCUCAAGAUUUCAAGCGACUUGCCCAAGUCAGAAUCGGUCAACUGGAACCUUCUCAGGAGGAAGGGUGGCCAAGGGUCUGGCCUGGCGUGGACCUCCUUCUCCUGCCUGUGAGGUCAGGAGCCCACGCCCUCCACUGAGGUACUGCCUUACAGCAGUGGCAGAGCACUAAACAGGGAAUUCCUUUCUGCGGACUCUCAGACACAAAUGCAGAGUUCACAGGUCUCCACUCUUUCCCACAGAUGAGCAUGUGUUUCUGUGGAAAGACCACACAGAGUUUGGAUCUCUGUGUUGUUUCCAGAUCGGGCCUGUGUUGGCCAUGUAGCCCGAGUCAAAUUAUGAACCAGGCCACAUUCAGCUGGAAGGAAUUUGGGGAUGGCCUCUGCUGUGCAUCAGAACCACCAGGACAGCUCGUUACAGCAGAUUCCUGGGCCUCACUCCUGGGACUCUGAUUCAGCAGGUCCGCAGAGGCACACUAGAUUUUCCAACAAGCUUCCAGGACGUGCCCAUGCUGCCAACCCAUGGACUCCACUUGAGUAUCACUGGCCCACAAUAACCUUAAUAUGGAUUGGCAAACUCUUUCCUAACGGCCAGUUACUCAACAUUUUAGGCUUUGCCGUAAUCUUUAGGCAGUACAAUCUGUAUCACAACUACUCAACGGUGCCGGAAAGGGGCUACAGACAACCUCUAUGUGAAUGGGUGUGUCUUGUCUCCUGAUAAAUCUUCGCAAAAACAGGAAGAGGCCGUGGGCUGCAGUUUGCUGAUCUUGAGUUCUUCCCUACCACUCCUCGCUUUUUAUUGUAAAAUGGGGAAAACAUUCCUGUCUUAUUUUUCUCCCUGGCUGUGAUGAAGAUAAGGUAUAA
This is a long non-coding RNA of Equus caballus (horse), 1576 nucleotides long. Lineage: Eukaryota; Metazoa; Chordata; Mammalia; Perissodactyla; Equidae. The record is from Ensembl.